UACGUAGGGGGCAAGCGUUGUCCGGAAUUACUGGGCGUAAAGGGUGCGUAGGCGGGUCUUUAAGUCAGAGGUGAAAUCCUGGAGCUCAACUCCAGAACUGCCUUUGAUACUGAGGAUCUUGAGUUCGGGAGAGGUGAGUGGAACUGCGAGUGUAGAGGUGAAAUUCGUAGAUAUUCGCAAGAACACCAGUGGCGAAGGCGGCUCACUGGCCCGAUACUGACGCUGAGGCACGAAAGCGUGGGGAGCAAACAGG
RNAcentral lists this ribosomal RNA (253 nucleotides) under uncultured bacterium. Its description in RNAcentral is "partial 16S ribosomal RNA". It matches the Rfam family "Bacterial small subunit ribosomal RNA", at positions 524 to 776 of the family's 1533-position model. The record is from RNAcentral.